This is a non-coding RNA of Macaca mulatta (Rhesus monkey), 492 nucleotides long. The record is from RefSeq and is a predicted model, not a curated record. Lineage: Eukaryota; Metazoa; Chordata; Mammalia; Primates; Cercopithecidae.
CAGGCCCAGGGAAGGAUAAAGGGAAGCGGUUAUGCUUUCUGAACUUCGAACCUGCAUAGAGCUCUUCUGCAAGACAAGCUUUGCAAAUCCCACUUGACGGCAAUGUGGUGUAAGUUGAUGGUUUGUGAAGACAGAUUUUAGAAAAAGAAGCAUGGCAUUUUCUGGAAGAUAUAUAACGUUUUGAAGAGGAAGAGACUCUUCAGCAGAACUCCGACCAGCAUUUCUCCAAGCCUCUACCCACUGGUUGGCAAGAAUACCUUUAACUAAGUUUCCAGUCCAGCAUUUCUCCCAAGCUGCUGCCUGCUGGUGAGCAAGAACACCUUUAAGGUGGAAAUAUUGUAUAAUGACGUGCUACUCCACAUCUCUUCACCGCAUUCAAUGAUGUCACAUUGAGAGCUUGAAAUCAGCCAUGGUGAGAAUAUUUAUAUCACAGAAGUUGAUAACUGCUAUGAAUUUAUUUAUUGUUUUAUUGAUUGAUUAGACCAGAAAAUG